This 491-nucleotide ribosomal RNA is filed under the name uncultured bacterium. RNAcentral's name for it is "partial 16S ribosomal RNA". It matches the Rfam family "Bacterial small subunit ribosomal RNA", at positions 29 to 507 of the family's 1533-position model. The record is from RNAcentral.
AGUGAACGCUGGCGGUAGGCCUAACACAUGCAAGUCGAACGGCAGCACAGUAAGAGCUUGCUCUUACGGGUGGCGAGUGGCGGACGGGUGAGGAAUACAUCGGAAUCUACUUUUUCGUGGGGGAUAACGUAGGGAAACUUACGCUAAUACCGCAUACGACCUACGGGUGAAAGCAGGGGAUCUUCGGACCUUGCGCGAUUGAAUGAGCCGAUGUCGGAUUAGCUAGUUGGCGGGGUAAAGGCCCACCAAGGCGACGAUCCGUAGCUGGUCUGAGAGGAUGAUCAGCCACACUGGAACUGAGACACGGUACAGAGUCCUACGGAGGCAGCAGUGGGGAAUAUUGGACAAUGGGCGCAAGCCUGAUCCAGCCAUACCGCGUGGGUGAAGAAGGCCUUCGGGUUGUAAAGCCCUUUUGUUGGGAAAGAAAAGCAGCAGGUUAAUACCCCGCUGUUCUGACGGUACCCAAAGAAUAAGCACCGGCUAACUUCGUG